CCGCCCUUAGCUCAGCUGGAUAGAGCGUCCCCCUCCUAAGGGGAAGGCCCCAGGUUCGAAUCCUGGAGGGCGGGCCA
RNAcentral lists this transfer RNA (77 nucleotides) under Halioglobus sp. Its description in RNAcentral is "tRNA-Arg". It matches the Rfam family "tRNA". Rfam says of the family: Transfer RNA (tRNA) molecules are approximately 80 nucleotides in length. Lineage: Bacteria; Pseudomonadati; Pseudomonadota; Gammaproteobacteria; Cellvibrionales; Halieaceae. The record is from RNAcentral.